CCUACGGGAGGCAGCAGUAAGGAAUAUUGGUCAAUGGAGGCAACUCUGAACCAGCCAUGCCGCGUGCAGGAAGAAGGCCCUAUGGGUCGUAAACUGCUUUUGUACCAGAGAAAACCACAGUACGUGUACUGUGUUGAUAGUAUGGUAAGAAUAAGCAUCGGCUAACUUCGUGCCAGCAGCCGCGGUAAGACGAAGGAUGCAAGCGUUAUCCGGAUUCAUUGGGUUUAAAGGGUGCGUAGGCGGACUGAUAAGUCAGUGGUGAAAUCUCUCAGCUUAACUGAGAAACUGCCAUUGAUACUGUUAGUCUAGAGUAUAGAUGACGUUGGCGGAAUAUGACAUGUAGUGGUGAAAUACUUAGAUAUGUCAUAGAACACCGAUUGCGAAGGCAGCUAACGAAACUAUAACUGACGCUGAGGCACGAAAGUGCGGGGAUCAAACAGGAUUAGAUACCCUGGUAGUCCGCACCGUAAACCGAUGAUUACUCGUUGUUGGCAAAUAUGACCGUCGACGCGACCGAACGACGAACGGACGAGUAAGUAAGUACCGUUACCGUUACGGGUAGGGUUACGGUUACCGGCCGGACCGGUUACGGAACGUUAAACGUUAGUUAGUUAGUUACGGACGUUGAGACGAGCGACGGACGACGACGAGGAGGUAGGAG
RNAcentral lists this ribosomal RNA (661 nucleotides) under uncultured bacterium. Its description in RNAcentral is "bacterial SSU rRNA". The stretch from base 1 to 545 matches the Rfam family "Bacterial small subunit ribosomal RNA", at positions 338 to 873 of the family's 1533-position model. The record is from RNAcentral.